This 236-nucleotide ribosomal RNA is filed under the name uncultured bacterium. RNAcentral's name for it is "partial 16S ribosomal RNA". It matches the Rfam family "Bacterial small subunit ribosomal RNA", at positions 118 to 347 of the family's 1533-position model. The record is from RNAcentral.
UGAGCGACCUGCCGUACCUGUGGGGGAUAGCCGGCCCAACGGCCGGGUAAUACCGCAUACGCUCGUUUUGGGCAUCCCGAGGCGAAGAAAGCUCGUAAGAGCGCAGGACGAGGGGCUCGCGGCCUAUCAGCUAGUUGGCGGGGUAAUGGCCCACCAAGGCGACGACGGGUAGCUGGUCUGAGAGGAUGGCCAGCCACAUUGGGACUGAGAGACGGCCCAGACUCCUACGGGAGNAG